Small nuclear RNA from Marmota marmota marmota (Alpine marmot), 96 nucleotides. Lineage: Eukaryota; Metazoa; Chordata; Mammalia; Rodentia; Sciuridae. The record is from Ensembl.
GUGCUUACUUCAGUAGCAUACAUACAAAAAUUGGAAUGGGAAUAGAGAUUAUCGUGGCCCCUGUGCAAGCAAAUUCAUGAAGUGCUUCAGAUUUUU